This 364-nucleotide unclassified non-coding RNA is filed under the name uncultured Lactarius. Its description in RNAcentral is "sequence contains ITS2". Lineage: Eukaryota; Fungi; Basidiomycota; Agaricomycetes; Russulales; Russulaceae. The record is from RNAcentral.
AACGCACCUUGCGCCCCUUGGUAUUCCGAGGGGCACACCCGUUUGAGUGUCGUGAAAAUCUCAACCUUCUCGGUUUCUUCUGGACACCGAAGGAGGCUUGGACUUUGGAGGCCUUUGCUGGUGUCUCUCUCUUCUGAAACCCAGCUCCUCUUAAAUGAAUUAGCGGGGUCCUCUUUGCUGAUCCUCGACGUGUGAUAAGAUGUUUCCAUGUCUUGGUUUCUGGCUCUGUUGCUCCUGGGACCCGCUUCUAAUCGUCUCAACCUUGCAUCGAGACAACGUUUGAGCGUGUCUCCCUUCUCGGGAAACGCUCUCAACCCCACGAACCCUUGACCUCAAAUCGGGUGAGACUACCCGCUGAACUUAA